GCCAGCUGGUAGAGUGGCAGAAGAAUUAUACACAAUUAUAGACCUGGCAAUUAAUAGUGACUGCAUCAACCCAAAAUGAGCCUUUCUUUUCUUCCACCCUGGAGAAAAGAAAAUGUGAUGGCAGUUACUGUCUCUGGAAUAGUCUCUGUCACUCUUUAAGAGGCUCCUCUUCUGUAAGGCCUCCGUGCACUUGGAUUCACAGCAUUAACUCUCAAUGCUGUCUCAAUGAAACACACCCAUCGGAACUUAUGAGUUGUGGAAACAUGUACCAAGUUUGA
RNAcentral lists this long non-coding RNA (278 nucleotides) under Chinchilla lanigera (long-tailed chinchilla). Its description in RNAcentral is "lncRNA (ENSCLAG00000026803.1)". The record is from RNAcentral. Lineage: Eukaryota; Metazoa; Chordata; Mammalia; Rodentia; Chinchillidae.